Molecule: ribosomal RNA, 396 nt
Filed under: uncultured bacterium
Lineage: Bacteria
Description: partial 16S ribosomal RNA
Rfam family: Bacterial small subunit ribosomal RNA
Source: RNAcentral
AUACGUAGGGAGCGAGCGUUGUCCGGAAUUACUGGGUGUAAAGGGUGCGUAGGCGGGACUGCACGUCAGCUGUGACAUGCCGGGGCUCAACCCCGGAGCUGCAUUUGAAACUGUGGUUCUUGAGUGAGGUCGAGGCAAGCGGAAUUCCUAGUGUAGCGGUGAAAUGCGUAGAUAUUAGGAGGAACACCAGUGGCGAAGGCGGCCUGCUGGACGACAACUGACGCUGAGGCGCGAAAGCGUGGGGAGCAAACAGGAUUAGAUACCCUGGUAGUCCACGCUGUAAACGAUGAAUACUAGGUGUGGGGGGACUGACCCCCUCCGUGCCGCAGUUAACACAAUAAGUAUUCCACCUGGGGAGUACGAUCGCAAGAUUGAAACUCAAAGGAAUUGACGGGG